Molecule: ribosomal RNA, 386 nt
Filed under: uncultured bacterium
Lineage: Bacteria
Description: bacterial SSU rRNA
Rfam family: Bacterial small subunit ribosomal RNA
Source: RNAcentral
GACGAACGCUGGCGGCGUGCUUAACACAUGCAAGUCGAGCGGUAAGGCCCUUUCGGGGGUACACGAGCGGCGAACGGGUGAGUAACACGUGGGUGACCUGCCCUCAGCUCUGGGAUAAGCCUGGGAAACCGGGUCUAAUACCGGAUAUGACUCCAUGACGCAUGUUGUGGGGUGAAAGCCUUGUGCGGCUGAGGAUGGGCCCGCGGCCUAUCAGCUUGUUGGUGGGGUGAUGGCCUACCAAGGCGACGACGGGUAGCCGGCCUGAGAGGGCGACCGGCCACACUGGGACUGAGACACGGCCCAGACUCCUACGGGAGGCAGCAGUGGGGAAUCUUGCGCAAUGGGCGAAAGCCUGACGCAGCGACGCCGCGUGAGGGAUGACGGCC